RNAcentral lists this long non-coding RNA (1131 nucleotides) under Felis catus (domestic cat). RNAcentral describes it as "lncRNA (ENSFCAG00000048626.1)". Lineage: Eukaryota; Metazoa; Chordata; Mammalia; Carnivora; Felidae. The record is from RNAcentral.
CUGAAGUAAGUGGACUAGUUCUGAGCCGAAGGAGACACCUUUCUUUCCGCUUGCCCCUCUGGGACCUUCCACCAUGGGAAGGACAUGCCCCAGUUCCUGGGGUUCAUUCAGUUUGGGCUCCAGAAUGAGGCAUGAGGCGUGAGGCAUGAUGCAUGAGGCAGACCUGAACUUGAUCCACAGGUGGAUUGCAGAACUACCCCAGCCACCUGUCAAAGCUGUGAGCAAUAAAUAAAUGUGUAUUUUCUUUGCCUCACAGAUUGGUAAUUGUUUGUCAGGCAGCUGCAUCGUGGUAGAAGCUUGCUAAUAUGCCUGGUCUUUAGGUUCCUGUCUGUAAUGUCACACUGUGCAUGUUUUAUGGUGGGGGUUGGGGGUAUGCCCAAGCCUACCUGUUUGGGGUACCAGAUGGCCUCCGAGAUCAUGUGAGGGAAAUGCCACACGAAAGCAGGAUCCCCCAAAACAGGGAUGUGGGGCUCAUCUGGAUGGAAGAGCUGGCACUCAGGUGAAUGUCAGGAUUGGUUUAGCUCAAGGCUUCUCAACCUCAGUGAUACUGACAUUUUGUUGUGGGACCUGUCCUGGGCAUAAAAGUUUAGAAGCAUCCCUGGUGUUUACCCACUAGAUGCUGGUGGCACUCCUCUCCCCGGUUUGUGACAACCAAAAUGUCUCCAGACAUUGCCAACGAUCACUCCCUGUUGAGAACCCGGUUCAAUUUUUCGGGAAGGCUUUGCACUUGCUUGGUCUCCCAAAUGUCAGGAAGUCCCUCCCAAUCCCUGAAACUGGAGGUCAACAGGUCAUCUCUCAUCACUUUUGCAUAUUAUCUACACUCCUGUUUCCCCUGGCACAUGGUGAGUAACACACACACACACACACACACACACACACACACACACACACACCACGUUGUUGCUGUUGUUGUUGUUGUUGCUGCUGCUGCUGUUAUGACCCUAGGCACUGAGUUAGUUGUUGGCUGAGUCAGCAUUAGGGCUGGGUUUCUGGGUUUUGACUCCAGGGCUCUCUCACCCCCUCCUCCCAGGUGUUUCCAGAAGCCCGGAAAGCACUUUGCUGGGUAUUCCGAAAGUGCUGGCAUUCGCAGUCGGGAUUGUGUGCCCAAAUCCAUCCUGUGUGUUUCCAAGU